RNAcentral lists this transfer RNA (72 nucleotides) under Lawsonia intracellularis PHE/MN1-00. It matches the Rfam family "tRNA". From Rfam's summary of the family: Transfer RNA (tRNA) molecules are approximately 80 nucleotides in length. Their secondary structure includes four short double-helical elements and three loops (D, anti-codon, and T loops). Further hydrogen bonds mediate the characteristic L-shaped molecular structure. tRNAs have two regions of fundamental functional importance: the anti-codon, which is responsible for specific mRNA codon recognition, and the 3' end, to which the tRNAs corresponding amino acid is attached (by aminoacyl-tRNA synthetases). tRNAs cope with the degeneracy of the genetic code in two manners: having more than one tRNA (with a specific anti-codon) for a particular amino acid; and 'wobble' base-pairing, i.e. permitting non-standard base-pairing at the 3rd anti-codon position. Lineage: Bacteria; Pseudomonadati; Thermodesulfobacteriota; Desulfovibrionia; Desulfovibrionales; Desulfovibrionaceae. The record is from Rfam by way of RNAcentral.
GGCGGCAUAGCCAAGCGGUAAGGCAGAGGUCUGCAAAACCUUUAUUCUCCGGUUCAAAUCCGGAUGCCGCCU